GACGUGGAUGACAUCAAUGAGACAGCAAGAAAUCGACAGCGUAAAUGGAGGAAACCUAACCAUUCCCUGCCUUGUUCCGGGAACCUUCAAGCCAUCUAAUUUCACCCUCAAAUGGAUCAUCACAAAACCAAAAGCAACCAAACCGGAGGUUAUCCUCACGUUCAACAGCCUAACCCUACAUAUCUCCAACCCCUGGAAGAACCAGGCAAGAGUGGACCCUCACCAGGUUCUCUCAGGAAAUGGGACCCUUUGGCUCCAGAACUUGGAAAAUUCAGCACAGACAGAAACCUACACCUGUGAAUUUUCAGCCUUCCAAUUCCAACAUCUGGUUCACACUGAUGUCACUCUUGGAGGGAACCAGUUACC
Molecule: long non-coding RNA, 366 nt
Organism: Conger conger (European conger)
Lineage: Eukaryota; Metazoa; Chordata; Actinopteri; Anguilliformes; Congridae
Exons: 3
Source: RefSeq, a predicted model, not a curated record